This 63-nucleotide transfer RNA is filed under the name Dipodomys ordii (Ord's kangaroo rat). It matches the Rfam family "tRNA". From Rfam's summary of the family: Transfer RNA (tRNA) molecules are approximately 80 nucleotides in length. Lineage: Eukaryota; Metazoa; Chordata; Mammalia; Rodentia; Heteromyidae. The record is from Rfam by way of RNAcentral.
AGGAAAGUGGCUCAGUGGUAGAGCGCUUGCCUCCCAUGCAUGAGGCCCUGGUUUGUUUUCCUC